ACGGCGAGUGAAGCGGCAAAAGCUCAAAUUUGAAAUCUGGUACCUUCGGUGCCCGAGUUGUAAUUUGGAGAGGGCAACUUUGGGGCCGUUCCUUGUCUAUGUUCCUUGGAACAGGACGUCAUAGAGGGUGAGAAUCCCGUGUGGCGAGGAGUGCGGUUCUUUGUAAAGUGCCUUCGAAGAGUCGAGUUGUUUGGGAAUGCAGCUCUAAGUGGGUGGUAAAUUCCAUCUAAAGCUAAAUAUUGGCGAGAGACCGAUAGCGAACAAGUACAGUGAUGGAAAGAUGAAAAGAACUUUGAAAAGAGAGUGAAAAAGUACGUGAAAUUGUUGAAAGGGAAGGGCAUUUGAUCAGACAUGGUGUUUUGUGCCCUCUGCUCCUUGUGGGUAGGGGAAUCUCGCAUUUCACUGGGCCAGCAUCAGUUUUGGUGGCAGGAUAAAUCCAUAGGAAUGUAGCUUGCCUCGGUAAGUAUUAUAGCCUGUGGGAAUACUGCCAGCUGGGACUGAGGACUGCGACGUAAGUCAAGGAUGCU
Molecule: ribosomal RNA, 527 nt
Filed under: Saccharomyces cerevisiae (brewer's yeast)
Lineage: Eukaryota; Fungi; Ascomycota; Saccharomycetes; Saccharomycetales; Saccharomycetaceae
Description: partial large subunit ribosomal RNA
Rfam family: Eukaryotic large subunit ribosomal RNA
Source: RNAcentral